CCUAUGGUCAAGUGGUUAAGACAUCGCCCUUUCACGGCGGUAUCGUGGGUUCGAAUCCCGCUAGGG
This 66-nucleotide transfer RNA is filed under the name human gut metagenome. It matches the Rfam family "tRNA". From Rfam's summary of the family: Transfer RNA (tRNA) molecules are approximately 80 nucleotides in length. The record is from RNAcentral.